CCUGCGGAGGGAUCAUUACCGAGUUAUACAACUCAUCAACCCUGUGAACAUACCUAUAACGUUGCCUCGGCGGGAACAGACGGCCCCGUAACACGGGCCGCCCCCGCCAGAGGACCCCCUAACUCUGUUUCUAUAAUGUUUCUUCUGAGUAAACAAGCAAAUAAAUUAAAACUUUCAACAACGGAUCUCUUGGCUCUGGCAUCGAUGAAGAACGCAGCGAAAUGCGAUAAGUAAUGUGAAUUGCAGAAUUCAGUGAAUCAUCGAAUCUUUGAACGCACAUUGCGCCCGCCAGUAUUCUGGCGGGCAUGCCUGUUCGAGCGUCAUUACAACCCUCAGGCCCCCGGGCCUGGCGUUGGGGAUCGGCGGAAGCCCCCUGCGGGCACAACGCCGUCCCCCAAAUACAGUGGCGGUCCCGCCGCAGCUUCCAUUGCGUAGUAGCUAACACCUCGCAACUGGAGAGCGGCGCGGCCACGCCGUAAAACACCCAACUUCUGAAUGUUGACCUCGAAUCAGGUAGGAAUACCCGCUGAACUUAAGCAUAUCAAUAA
This 548-nucleotide ribosomal RNA is filed under the name Fusarium solani. RNAcentral's name for it is "eukaryotic LSU rRNA". The stretch from base 170 to 323 matches the Rfam family "5.8S ribosomal RNA". The record is from RNAcentral. Lineage: Eukaryota; Fungi; Ascomycota; Sordariomycetes; Hypocreales; Nectriaceae.